GAUGAACGCUGACGGCAUGCUUAACACAUGCAAGUCGAUGGGGAAGUGGUGCUUGCACCGUGGCAACCAUGGCGGACGGGUGAGUAACGCGUAAGGGACUUACCUGCAGGACUGGGAGAACAGGGGGAAACUCCGGACAAGACCGGGUAAUGUCAUGGAGCUUCAUGGGUGUGGGAUGAAAGGGGACGACGGCGGAGAGCCUUGCGUCCUAUUAUCUAGUUGGUGGGGGAAUGGCGCACCAAGGCGAAGAGAGGGAGCCGGCAGGAGAGGGUGGACGGCCACAAGGGGACUGAGACACGCCAGUUACCACUACGGGAGGCAGGAGGGGGGAAUAUUGGACAAGGGGGGCAACCCUGAUACAGCAAUUCUGUGUGGAAGAAGAAGGUUUUCGGAUUGUACAGUGCUUUCAGCAGGGAAGAAGUAAGUGACGGUACCUGCAGAAGAAGCGACGGCUAAAUACGUG
Molecule: ribosomal RNA, 463 nt
Filed under: uncultured bacterium
Lineage: Bacteria
Description: partial 16S ribosomal RNA
Rfam family: Bacterial small subunit ribosomal RNA
Source: RNAcentral